RNAcentral lists this ribosomal RNA (405 nucleotides) under uncultured bacterium. RNAcentral describes it as "bacterial SSU rRNA". It matches the Rfam family "Bacterial small subunit ribosomal RNA", at positions 355 to 775 of the family's 1533-position model. The record is from RNAcentral.
UGAGGAAUAUUGCACAAUGGGCGCAAGCCUGAUGCAGCGACGCCGCGUGGGUGAAGAAGGUCUUCGGAUCGUAAAGCCCUUUUCUGCGUGACGAGACAGGACGGUAGCGCAGGAAUAAGUCUCGGCUAACUACGUGCCAGCAGCCGCGGUAAAACGUAGGAGACAAACGUUAUCCGGAGUUACUGGGCGUAAAGGGCGUGUAGGCGGUCUGUUAAGUCUGGCGUGAAAGCUCUCGGCUAAACCGGGAGAGGUCGUUGGAUACUGGCACGACUGGAGGAUGGUAGAGGCGUGUGGAAUUCCGGGUGUAGUGGUGAAAUGCGUAGAGAUCCGGAGGAACACCAGUGGCGAAGGCGACACGCUGGGCCAUACCUGACGCUAAAGCGCGACAGCAUGGGGAGCAAACGG